This 258-nucleotide long non-coding RNA is filed under the name Panax ginseng (ginseng). RNAcentral describes it as "long non-coding RNA (PGIN_LNC009660)". The record is from RNAcentral. Lineage: Eukaryota; Viridiplantae; Streptophyta; Magnoliopsida; Apiales; Araliaceae.
UUUAUUCAUAAAAGUUGGGGUCUUACACUAAAAUGUUGUCUAACAGCCAUAUGUUAGGGCUUCUAGAUCUGUGUGUGUUAGGUGUUAUGUGUGUUUUAUGUUAUGGAUUUGUUCUUUGCUAUGUAGGCUUUAAUCUGGAACUGGAAUAAUGGUCAUAACAUGUCUAGAUCUCCAGAUAUGAGCAGUCAAACUGCGUUGAUCGGCCACGAAAUCUGGUUUCUAGGUAACCCAGAAACCCAGAAAUCACUAACAACGUUG